Molecule: long non-coding RNA, 20005 nt
Filed under: Podarcis lilfordi (Lilford's wall lizard)
Lineage: Eukaryota; Metazoa; Chordata; Lepidosauria; Squamata; Lacertidae
Source: RNAcentral
UCUUUGGGAUGAGGGACCCAUCUGAUCAUCACUGGUAAGUCACUGAAUUUUUCACGUUCUUUUCCUUCUCAUGGAUAAUUUUUUAACAUUUCCAUCUUAUUUUGUCCUUUUCCACAUAUUAAACUAAGCUCUACUUAGAGCAGACCCAUUGAAAUUAAUGAACCUAGCACCAUUGAUUUCAAUGGGUUCACACUAAAUAUGUAUUGCAUUGGAUAUAACAACCUAUCAUUCAAACCAGACAAAGGAUGGGAACAAAAUUCAAUUUUGUUUGCAUUUUAAUGAGAAACUACCCAUUCCACACUUCUCAAAUCAACAUGAGAAUCGAGGCACAAUUAUCCUUUCAAAAUUUUCAAAUUUUCAGGCGCAGUCCUCCAACAAAAUAAUGUGUGCAAAAAUAUGUGUAUUAUGGGAAAGGUCCCCAAAAGACAUAUUUUCAUGAUAUUAACAUUAAUAGAUGCAUCAUAUUAGGGAAAAUAAGUUUCAAAAAAAAAUGUGUUAUUCAAACCUGCAUACAAAAAUGUGUGUAUUGGGAUAAAUUCAUGCUAAAAUGCUGGUGAAUUCUCCAGAGGAGUUUUUUAAAACCAAAAACCAAAAAAUAAACAGCCUCAAAAUGCUGUGGAAAUGUGGAGAACUUAACUGUAGGUUGAAAACAAUAAGAAACCCAAACUCACAAAUUCUCCCAUCCCUAACCCAGACUGAAUCUUUGACAUAACAAUAUAAAUUUAACUGAAGCCAGACCGGAAUGUUCAAAUCCCAUCUUGCCAUUUUACACCUCUCCCCCACUCCCAAAGUUGAGGAAUUUACUGGCAAAAGAAUUGGGGUAUCCCACCUCCUUUUCUUUGGGUGGGCCAAUGAGAUAAAUGUCUGCAGCUCUCUUCUGUGGCUACUCUCAAACUCUUGACAUACCCUUUCCGUUGGAUGGAAUAUGCAUCAGAAAAGCAAAUUUGAGUGAUAUCAUUCUACCAAAGCAACAUUAGGAAAUGCAAAUCCUGGAUCAUCCGGUCUAGAUUAUUUCUGCUGAGAAAGUCGGAAUUUUUUUAUUCCAUUCGUAGCCCUUAGCAUUUUAAAAAUAGAGUAAAAUCAAGGGAUACCCUCCUUUAUUUAUUUUAUUUAUUAGAUUUAUCUACCGCCCUUCAUUUAAAAAAACUAUAUCUCAGGGCAAUUCACAAACUUGAGAGGGGACAAUCCUAUGGAAAGAUUCACUGGGAUGAGCAGUUUAGGAUGUGGUGGAUCUCCAGCUGAUUCCUGACGCAGCUGGGCUCCGACAUCCUUAAGUCCCCAAACCUGGCUCAGCAUAACAUCCUCAUUCCAGCUCAACCAGAGCUAGGCUCGCUGAGCUGAGGCUGGUGAAAGUCCUCAAAAUGGGACUUUCUGGGGGCAGGAACAGAGGGAAGAGGACUUAGGCACUAUCCUAAGCCAGGAAGGAAGAAUACACUUGUGUAAGGGGAUGAGUGUAUUCUAUGAUUUCUCUCUAAUGCUCUUUGGACCCAUAAAGUAAUUCAGAGUGGCACGGUUGUGAGACAUUCACCUGAAAAGUGAUGUAUGAAAGGCAGAGCACUGAGAAGUAUGUAACGAGAUGGGCAUGUUCUUAGAUGUUGGAGGUCUUUAUGGAUCAAGCUAGCAUUAAGAGGAGAUCAGAGGAUGUGCUCAGCUCCCUGAAGGUACAACUUUUUCUUCCUGGUUGAUCAGGAAGUUGUACCUUCAGGGAGCAAAGCACAUCCUCUGAUUUCCUCUUAUUGCUAGCUUGCUCCAUAAAGGCUGGCUUGUGCUCUAGGCAAUUCCACUCUCCACACGGCCUCCCUUCUCUUUGGAAUAAUAAUAAUAAUAAUAAUAAUAAUAAUAAUAAUAAUAAUAAUAAAAAAUUUAUACCCCACCCAUCUGGCUGGGUUUCCCCAGCCACUCUGGGCAGCUCCCAACAGAAUAUUAAAGAAACAAUGAAACAUCAAACAUUAAAAACCUCAUUAAACAGGGCUGCCUUCAGAUGUCAUCUAAAAGUCAGAUAGUUGUUUAUCUCCUUGACAUCUGAUGGGAGGGCAUUCCACGGAGAAUCCCUUUUGUAUGUUAUCUUCUAAUGGUAGCACAUCCAUAACAUUUAAUACAUGUCACUGAUGGCAUUUCUUUAGCAAGGAAGCUCUCCCAGUUCCUGCAAGUUGUUUUCAUUUCAAAAGAAAAAGACUUUGGCACGUGGGACAAUAUGGGGAGACAUGUGUCCACAGGUGCAUCGAUGCUUUAAUUUCCUUUAACAGAAGUGUGAACUUGAAAGGGAAAGUAAGACAUGUGGCAAGAACAUCCGUACUCUGAUGUUUGCUGAAGGUGUUAUAGUUUAUUGAUGCAACAGAAAAUAAUAACAAAAAUCUAGAAAGAAAGAAAGAAAGAAAGAAAGAAAGAAAGAAAGAAAGAAAGAAAGAAAGAAAGAAAGAAAGAACAGCCUGCAAGCCCACCUGGUCCAAUAUCAUCUUCCCUUCUGUGGCCAGUAUUGGUGCCUCUUGCAAGUUGAGAUGCAGGACAUGAAUGUAGGAAGCCCAUAUUUUUUGUUCCAUAUUAUUGUCUCCAAACUUGGAGUGAUGCCAAUUACCAGUAGUUACCACAGUCUUUAUUAGUUAUCCAAGGGCCAUAAAUUCUUUUCUUUUUUUAAUCAUUAAAAGCAUGAUAAAAAAAUCAGCAUAUCACAUCCACACUUCCAUCUACAGCACAACAAUGCAAACAGGCAAUACUCCUUUGCUCAAUGUGAUUGUCAUUUGACCCUGUACUUUUAGUUCAAAGUUGGCCAUCAGCUUUUUCUUUUUUUCCCCACCCAACAUUUAUUUGCUCUAGAUUAGUGGUUCUCAACCUGUGGGUCCCCAGAUGUUGUUGGACUACAACUCCCAUCAUCCCUGAGCUCUGGCCUUGCUAGCAAGGGGUGAUGGGAGUUGUAGUUCAGCAACAUCUGGGGACCCACAGGUUGAGAAAGGCUGCUCUAUAUCAUAUUGACAGUCAAUCGUAUGGGAUUUGGCCCAUUCCUUUUUAGCAGGACUGCAACUAGGAACCUGGCUGGAUCAAAUAUAAUCUGAUGAUUCUGAGCUGUCAAUCACAAGGACCAAUAUAUUCUCUUCUCUCCAAUUCCUGUUGCCCCCCAACCAUUUUAUGAUUAAUUUCUGCUCACAUUCACACCGUGCAUUUAAAGCACCAUGAUACCACUUUCAAUAGUCAAAGAAUCCUGGGAGCAGUUAAGGGAGCUUAGAGUCAACAGCUUUCUCUGAUUCAGAAGAAGCACAAUCGCCUUCCCUGGAGACAAUUUGGACCGCCUUUAUUAUAAUCAUUGUACAUAGCUUCUGGAAUCUCACAUGCCCCUUUGGCAUCUUGGCAAUGAACUAUUAGGAGAUGCUCAUCUCCUAGUAACUGUCAGGGCCUGGGCAGAGGAGAAGUGGUGGAGACCGCCUCCCCAUCCUGACCCUUCCAGGGAGGAGGAAGAGGAAGACAGUGUAGAUUUACCACAGGGGUUUGAGGGAGGUCACAUAUGAAGGGAAAAGUUGGGAAAUAAUGGGAGAGGAGGAGGAGGCAGAACCAGUUUGACCACUGGCUGACAUGCCUUAAAGGUAGGAGAGCAAAGAGCUCAAAGACAGAGGGCACAUAGCAGCACCUAUAAAAGGUAAAGGUAAAAGGACCCCUGACCAUUAGGUCCAGUCGUAGCCGACUCUGGGGUUGCAGCGCUCAUCUCGCUUUACUGGCCAAGGGAGCCGGCAUAAAACCUCCAGGUCAUGUGGCCAGCAUGACUAAGCCGCUUCUGGUGAACCAGAGCAGCACACGGAAAUGCCAUUUACCUUCCCUCUGGAGCGGUACCUAUUUAUCUACGUGCACUUUGACGUGCUUUCGAAUUGCUAGGUUGGCAGAAGCAGGGACCGAGCAACUGGAGCUCACCCCGAACUUUGCUUCAGGAUGAGAACAGAAAUUGCGCGGUGGCGGCACGGUGGCAGCAGCGGGAGGCUCCAUUAGCUAAAGUAGUACCUCAGGUUAAGAACAGUUUUAGGUUAAGAACGGACCUCCAGAACGAAAUAAGUUCUUAACCCAAGAUUCAAAGGCAGCUCGGAAGUCAAACAGCUUCCAAGGCGUGUUUCUCGGUUUUCCCCAUUGAACUUGCUGACAGUCCUUUGAUCCUCGGUUUUCGAACAUUUCAGAAGUUGAACGGACUUCCAGAAUGGAUUACGUUCGAAAACCGAGGUAAUAAUAACGUAGUAAUAAUAACGUAGUGCAAUAUUUGCAGCAAUUCUUUGUCUCUGAGUAAGCCUUGUGCUGCUUACUAAAGUGACAUGCAGCAGCAUUCAUAACUCCCUUUUUCUCCAAAUGUACCCAUUCUUCACUUUUUGAGCCCUGUAAAUCCUUAUGUCAUUCCUAUUCUCUUCCGUAAAAUAUAAGCAUUUCUUAUUCAGGAUGCAAGCCUGGGCAGUGUGAAUGGAGGUCCUGGGCUACUUGAAGGACAAGAUCCCACUCUCAACCUCGUUUGUUGUGGCCCAAAGGAAAGCAGAGCAAUACAUUGUCACCAACUUCAGUGGCGUAGCGUGGGGGGUGCAGGGGGUGCCGGUCGCACCGGGCGCAACAUCUGGGGGGGGGGCGCUCGCACUCGCAGCUCUCUGCCCCUACCUGGCUCACUCACUCUCUCUCACUGCAGUGCUGGCUGUGCGAAUCCGAUCCGAGCCGCUGGGUCGCUGCCCACUGUGGAGCGGUGCAGAGAGAGAGGGAGGGACUAUCUGGGGGAGGGACAGUGCAGCGGCCGCCCAGCGCAGCGCUGAGCGCGGGAGAGAACCACACCAGACCAGACCAGGCAGCAGCAAGAAGAAGCUGGCAGCGGCGGCAGGUUAGGGGUUAGGGGGCACAAAUUACUUGCCUUGCCCCGGGUUAGGGGGCACAAAUUACUUGCCUUGCCUUGGGUUAGGGAGCGCAAAUUACUUGCCUUGCUGACAACCCACGCUACGCCGCUGCCCAGCUUGGCUGCAGAAGUUGCCAGAAGGAGGCGUACAAGGCUCCAUCCAACCAUUUUAGGAUUUGUGUAGGGUUUAUUCCUUAGCCUUUUCUUCUCCCAAAGAUAUCCCACAAGGCAGCCGAGGUUUAGGAUCAGAGUUUUGCUUCUCCUAGAUGGACUGCCUUCCCAGGUUGAUGAGCCCCGUCUGCCCCUCGUUUCCCUCUGCAGAAUGUGCAGAAACCACCUUCUUGACCAUUGGACCUGCUAUUGGUCUCGUCUGCUCAAUCCACUGCAGCCUGUCAAUCAAUCAACGAUUUAACUUCUACAUCGCUUAAUAUAUUAAGAUAUCUCCAAGCGGUGUACAAAAAAUUAAAGCGACAACUGACAACUGAAACAGAAUAUUACAGAAAUAGUUACAUAAAGAAAUGUUACUUUAAUACAAAGUUGCUAAUACCAUAUUGGCCUGAAUAUAAGCCACACUUUUUUUCCAAAUUCCAACUGUGAAAAGUUAAAAUGCAGCUUAUGUUAGCGACCUUACACCGCCAGCAAAGUGGCGCGGCUCCCCCAUCCCCAUGAAGCAGCCCGGGUAUUGUCUUUGUUCCUCCCCCCCCCCCCGACUUUUAAAGGUGUUGCUUAUAUUCGGGUGCGGCUUAUAUGCGGGCCGAUACGGUACAUAUAAAUCAAUUUCGAUUCAUUUUCCUUCUGACACAUCCUUCCUCCCAGCCUCUUGGUUCUCACUCAGGGUCCGACAAAUGCUCCGCUCACAUACAAAAGACUCACAACAAGAAUAGUUCCUGGAAACAGCAGACAUCACCCUAGUCUCUCACUCUAGACUUGCUUUUUAUGGGCAGGCCCAAGGUGGCUGGUACUUCCUCAAGCUGCCCACAAACCAGGGUCCAUUUAGCUAGACUCUCCACACCCAGUUCAAGGUUUGCUGAGUUUCCCAGAGGGUCCAAAGGAUUAGAAGACAAGGCCUCUCCACUCACAGCUCUUUCUGCCCUCUCCUUCUCCCCCAGCUGAGCUUCUGCCCCAUGGCAGGGGAUAGUUGUGCUUUCUUCUCCCUUUGUGUUGGUGAAACAUCCAAAGCCACUCAGUAGGGUCACAGAGGAUGGCAAGGGGAUGGAAGUCAGUGCACAUCACCAGAACCAGUCCCUACAAACACGGUGGCCUCUCUGGCCUCACAUGUAGAGGAAGUCCCUAACUCACAGAGGGUUUGAGACCCAUCGGCUACCCACACCUGGUUGAGGUGGCCAGUCGAAACCAUUCCUCCAGCAUGGCCACACUCACACCCUGACAGAUGCUAGGAACCACAGGUGAGAGUUGAGUGCAAGGUGGGAACCAAAGGUGGGCAAACUACCCCAGAAGGAGCAUGAUGUGUGUCCCACCAGAGAUAAGACCCCAUGCUGUGUGCCUGCGUAUGGUAUUCCAUUUGAAUUGUGGCAUAAAUAUCUUUCAGGGAAAUAUCAAUACACUUACAAUACUCAGCGACUGGUCUGUACUCAUGGAGAUCAACAUUUCCCCAGACUGGCCAUCAAACAGUGGUCUGCAACGUCCCCCCCCCCCCCAGUCACCUGUCAAUUGCAAACAGAAGUUUGAUAAGGGGGAGUAAAUUCACAGAAGUGCAGUGCAGUCAAAGUUAAGCACUUUGCUGGGCCAUUGAUUCCAGUUGAAGAGGUAAGUGAUGGACAUUUAAAUAUGCUUAAUUUUGGCUGGAUCACUGGUGCUACUGUCACCAGCUAGACUGGUGACUGGGAGUGGCCACCGAGACCAAAUAAGACCAGUCCUGAAAGACCUACAUUGGCUCCAAGCAUGUUUCCAAGCACAAUUCAAAGUGUUGGUGUGGACCUUUAAAGCCCUAAUUGGCCUUGGCCCAAUAUACCUGAAGGAGCAUCUCCACCCCCACUGCGGUCCAGCUCCGAGGACCUUCUGGCAGUUCCCUCCCUGCGAGAAGUGAGGUUACAAGGAACCCAUCAGAGGGCCUUCUUGGUAGUGGUGCCCGCCCUGUGGAACGCCCUCCCAUCAGAUGUCAAGGAGAUAAACAACUAUCUGACUUUUAGAAGACAUCUGAAGGCAGCCCUGUUUAGGGAAGUUUUUAAUGUUUGAUAUUUUAUUGUGUUUUUAAUAUUCUGUUGGGAGCCGCCCAGAGUGGCUGGGGAAACAUUAUUAUUAUUAUUAUUAUUAUUACUACUACUACUACUACAACUACACUACUACUACUUGGCAUUGUAGGUCACAAUAGUCAGGUGCACAUGAAACAAGAAUACUUUUUGGUUUGACCUAGCCAAAGCUAAGAAUAAGAGCACAGGAAGAGUCCUUUUGGAUCAGGUUGGCGGUUCGAAUCCCCGCGACGGGGUGAGCUCCCGUUGCUCAGUCCCUGCUCCUGCCAACCUAGCAGUUUGAAAGCACGUCAAAGUGCAAGUAGAUAAAUAGAUACCACUCCAGCGGGAAGGUAAACGGCAUUUCCGUGCGCUGCUCUGGUUCACCAGAAGCGGCUUAGUCAGGCUGGCCACAUGACUUGGAAGCUGUACACAGGCUCCCUCAGCCAAUAAAGCGAGAUGAGCACCACAACCUCAGAGUCAUCUGCGACUGGACCUAAUGGUCAGGGGUCCCUUUACCUUUUUAAAAGCCUAUCUAGCCCAGAACUUACAGUGACCAACCAGAUGCCUUCUGGAAGCCUGCAAGCAAUGCUUGAGUGAAACAGCAGCUCUCCCCACCUACAGCUUUUACCAACUCUCAUUCAAAGUCAUACUGCCUCUGACUAGAGGUACAGCACAGCCAUUGUGCCUUGAGGUCUAUAACUGCAGUGUUGAAAGUGAAUAUCUGAGAUGAUAUGUCACCCUUUCCUUGAGCUCCAGAUUUGAUUACGGUGGUUCACAUUCUUACCAGGACAACAUGCACAGAGAGAGUUGAUGGAUUAUACCGAAAUGGCCAAAAUGAACAGAAGAAUCAGAAAUCAGGAAGACCAAAAUUUUUAUAAGGAAUGGAGAAAAAUUAUAAUUUGUCUUAAAAACCAUUGUAAACAGCUAAAACUGUUAGUAGGAUUGGAAUAACACUUGUAGUUUAAUGGUGAAUUUUGGACAUAAUGGAGAUGUAAAAGAUUUGGAUUAUUAUAAAAGAUGCGGGAGGAAAUGACUAACAAUAGGACCCACAAAGGGGAGGUGGGAAGUCCACAAAAUUCUUUGGAAUCUUGUUUUUAUGCUGUAUGUUGGAUAUGUGAUUGUAAAACUUUAAUCUGAAAAACCAAAUAAAUAAAUAAAUUUAUUUAAAAAAAAAAAAAGCAUGCAGAGAGAGACAAGAGUGGCAGUAAGAAGAGUUCAUUUUUUAAAAAAAAUCUAGCUCAUUAAAGUUGAUGUGGGAGAUUCAAAGUUAUACUCGGAGAAGAGUUUUUGAAAUUAGUUAAGUGGGUCUACCGUGAAUGUGGCUUAGCUGAAUAUUGUCUGUUUAGCUAUGAUUGAUUUUAAUGGGAGAGCUUGCGCACACAUUCAGAUCUCUUCCAUUGACAACAAUGGAGCUCUGAAAUGCUCAGGUUUGGCUGGGUCGUGCCCCACAUGUUUAUUUUACAAAAGAGCCUACAUGGGAAAGUAAACACCAAAAAUAAUGAGCUUUCAACAGAAGGAAAGGCAUCUCUUUGCUUUACUCUUCUAGACUCGAUACUUUUGAGCCAUCUAUGAAAUUUGAGGGUCGCUUGCAUUCAUCUUGGGGACAUUUCCCGCCCCUGCCCACAGACAUCUUUAUUGAAAGUUCAAAAAGUACAUAGUACUUUGUGCACUAAACAUAAUGAGACGUACAUAAAAGAGAGAAAGAGAGAAAGAGAGAAAACAGCACCUGUGUAGAAGGGAAAAUAAAGGGGAGAGGGGGAACCCAAAACUGUAUACUUUACAGAGUUGUUAUUGUACUUCAAAAGAUCUUAACCUAUUACAGUAUUGGUAAGAAUAUCAUUGAAUUUGUCCAUGGCAAGUCUGCAUUUAUAUGCAGGUUGUUCAUAUGUUGCAAGUUUGUAUAAGUCUUCAAUCCAAUCAUAGAAGGGAGCCACAUUUUUAUUUUUCCAAUUCAUCAGUAUCAGUCUUUUUGAUGUGGUAAGGGCACAGAGCAUCUUAAAAAAGCAUCUUAAAAAGCAGAGACAUCAUCUUGCCAACAAAGGUCCAUAUAGUUAAAGCUAUGGGUUUCCCAGUAGUGAUGUAUGGAAGUGAGAGCUGGACCAUAAAGAAGGCUGAUCACCGAAGAAUUGAUGCUUUUGAAUUAUGGUGCUGGAAGAGACACUUGAGAGUCCCAUGGACUGCAAGAAGAUCAAACCUAUCCAUUCUGAAGGAAAUCGGCCCUGAGUGCUCCCUGGAAGGACAGAUCCUGAAGCUGAGGCUCCAAUACUUUGGCUACCUCAUGAGAAGAGAAGACUUCCUGGAAAAGACCCUGAUGUUGGGAAAGAUUGAGGGCACAAGGAGAAGGGGACGACAGAGGACGAGAUGGUUGGAUAGUGUUCUCGAAGCUACCAGCAUGAGUUUGACCAAACUGCGGGAGGCAAUGAAAGACAGGAGUGCCUGGCGUGCUCUGGUCCAUGGGGUCACGAAGAGUCGGACACGACUGAACGACUAAACAACAACAACAACAAAUGGCACGGAGAGUCCACUCGUGUUGUCCUUUUGUAAGUUUCUAUGUGCUGGGUAUAUAAUUCAAGAGGACAUUUUGCUCCGUAAAUGUAAGGUUGUUCUAUACAGUUCUGUUGAUAGUUUCAGUUACCUUCUCCCAAAAACUUUUCAACAUAGGCCAAUGAAAAAACAUAUGUUUUAGAGAAGCAUUAUACCUAUUACAUCUCCAACAGUUAGAUACCUUAGAUAGGCCUUUUUUAAAGCAAAUGUAAUGGGGUCCAGUAUAUUCUAAAACUUGGGGACAUUAAAAAUAUGUGUGUGUAUCAGGACUGUGUACGACCAAACCAGCCACGUAGACAAGAGACUACCAGCCCGUGGCUGCUGACGUGUCCUGACCUUCUGCUCCAUCAGAAACCAGUUAAUGACAGUUAACCGAAAAGGGGUUUCCGAUUGCUCUGCGGAGGCAGCUGUGAGAUGAACAAGCAGCUCUGAGCCCAGAAGAAAGACGUGGACAACAGGGACUGCAACUGAAAAAUAAUAAUGAUAAUAAUGGUCUUUCAGUUCCUAGAAUAGCACCACCCAUUUUGCAACCAAGAGAUGAGACGAGUUAGCAGGAGGAAAUGCGAGAGGGGCCUGGGCAACCAGCUGUAGGUUGAGCAGGGAGGAAGAGACUCAGAGCAGUGGGGGUGGGGCAGAUUUAGGCCCAGGUCAUUGUUGCCUUCCCACAGGUGCCAGGCUGAGCUACUAUGGGUGACGGCAGAGGGUGAGGGCGACGACAAGGUCCAUUGCUUUUGUUCCGCUCAGCCAAGCUCGUGUUAUUGAAGCUCGCUGCUUGAAUUCCAUUAACAGAGCAGAACAGCACAGACGCCAACGUUUUGUAGGCAGAAAUAGCAAUGUGCUCGCAAUGCGUCGCUCCCCCAAUGCACACACACCUUUUUCAUACUGGUUAGUGGCCUACAUGGUCUUCUGUAUCAACAUACCCUCUAACUUGACUCUGAUGGAAAUAGAGAUGUCCUAUUCAACAACAAAUUCUUCUUCUUCUCCUCCUCCUCCUUCUUUGGUGAUCACUUGUAGCUGAGUAAGAUUGUAUUCCAUAAACAUAGUUUUAAAAGUGAGUCUGUAAGUGACUGUGGAGGCCAAUUCUGGAUCCACACAUCCUUCCACAGUGGCGACAUAGGUUUCCGGGCAGGAGUUGAUCACAGCGAGGGUUUGCCAAGCGUGCCUUCCACUUAGCACAUUUCUCCCUUUCAUCCUGAGUUUGAGCGUCUUCAAAGCCCAUGACACCUUUGGUAAAGGCUGUUCUCCAAUUGGAGCUUUCGCAGGCCAGUGUUUCCCAAUUGCUGGUGUUUAUACUACAUUUUUUAAAAUUUGCCUUGAGAGAGUCUUUGAACCACUUUUGUUGACCACCAGCAUUGCGCUUCCCAUUUUUAAGUUCAGAAUAGAGUAGUUGCUUUGAAAGACGAUAAUCAGGCAUCCAAACGACAUGACCAGUCCAACGAAGCUGAUGUUGAAGAAUCAUUGCUUCAUCACUGGAGUAUUCUUGCUGCUGUUGUAGCAUACAUAAAAAAAGUUCUAUCCUUCUUUGGCACCAAUUGGCCGACCAUGCCCAGGAGAAAGGCCUCUGGUUUCUUCAGAAAGGUAUAUUUAAAUACCUUUUCAUUUCAUUAUAAAUCAUCUCCCAGAAUGUCUUAAUCCUUGGGCAUGUCCACCAAAGAUGAAAGAAUGUACCUUCAGUCUCAUUACAUUUCCAACAUUUAUUUUCGGGCAAAUGGUAAUUUUUUGCAAGCUUGACUGGUGUCAUGUACCACCUAUAAAUCAUUUUCAUUAAGUUUUCUCUUAGGGCAUUACAUGCCGUAAAUUUCAUACCUGUGGUCCAUAACUGUUCCCAGUCAGCCAUCAUUAUAUUAUGUCCGACAUCUUGUGCCCAUUUAAUCAUAGCUGAUUUCACCAUUUCAUCCUGAGUGUUCCAUUUCAACAGCAACUUAUACAUUUUUGACAAAUUCUUAAUUUUUGAGUUUAACAGUUCUGUUUCCAAUUUUGAUUUUUCCACCUGGAAACCAACUUUUUUGUCCAAAUUAUAUGCCUCCAUUAUUUGAUAAUAAUGGAGCCAAUCUCGCACUUUAUUUUUCAAUUUUUCAAAGCUCUGCAAUUUUAGUCUGUCUCCCUCUUGUUCCAGAAUUUCCCAAUAUUUCGGCCAUUUGGCCUCCAUAUUGAGUUUUUUCUGUGCCUUCGCUUCCAUUGGUGACAACCAUCUUGGGGUUUUCUUUUCUAACAAAUCUUUAGAUCUUAUCCAUACAUUAAACAAUGCUUUUCUAACAAUAUGAUUUUUAAACGCUUUAUGUGCUUUUACCUUAUCAUACCACAAAUAUGCAUGCCAACCAAAUAUGUUGUUAAAACCUUCUAGGUCCAACACAUCAGUGUCUUCAAGUAGCAGCCAUUCUCUCAGCCAACAAAAAGCAGCUGAUUCAUAAUAGAGUUUUAGGUCUGGCAGGGCAAAUCCACCUCUUUCUUUAGCAUCAGUUAAUAUCUUAAAUUUUAUUCGAGGCUUCUUGCCCUGCCAGACAAAUCUGGAAAUAUCUUUCUGCCACUUCUUAAAACAAUCCAUCUUAUCCAAAAUUUGUAAUGUUUGAAACAAGAACAACAUCCUUGGCAGCACAUUCAUUUUUAUCACAGCAAUUCGACCUAAUAAUGAUAACUUCAAAUUUGACCAUAUUUCUAAGUCUUUUUUCACUUCAAUCCAACAUUUUUCAUAAUUAUCCUUAAAUAAAUUUACAUUUUUAAGCAGUCAUAUUAACCCCUAGAUAUUUCACUUUCUUAACCAAUGUUAGUCCUGUCUCUUCCUGAAAUUUCUCUCUCUCAUUUACAGUUAAGUUUUUCUCUAAGAGAGAGAAUGCAGCAGGACUUUUCUUCUGCUCCCAGUUACUGGGGAAGAGGGAAUUAUUAUUAUUAUUAGUAGUAGUAGUAUUAAUAUUAUUAUUAUUAUUAAUACCCCAAUCAUCAUCUGGCUGGGUUUCCCCAGCCACUCUGGGCGGCUCCCAACAGAAUAUUAAAAACACAAUAAACAUGUGGCGUUCCACAGGGCAGGUGCCACUACCAAACAGGCCCUCUGCCUAGCUCCCUGUAACCUCACUUCUCGUAAGGAGGGAACAGCCAGAAGGUGUCCAGGCAGAACGAUGGGGGUAGAGACGCUCCUUCAGAAUCUGAGGGAAACAACAGUGGUCUCCCCACCUUUGAUUCCCAGGGUCUGGUAUUCAGAUGCACAAAAUAUACAUACCUCCCAAAGCAGAUGCUCCAAAAGCUGGCUAUUAUUAUUAUUAUUAUUAUUAUUUGUAUACCCGCAGGUCUCAAGGUGGAUCUCAACACAAAAUCACAAUAUAAAAACACAAAAUACAUAAUAAAAACAAAAACAAGGGCAACCCAAUGAUCCCUCCUUCCCCAACACAUUUUAAAAGGGCAUUGGAUGUCAAUCAGCAUGGUGUCUAAAGGUGUAUAAUGAAGGUGCUAGGAGAGCCUCCCUGGGGAGAGCAUUCCACAAAUUGGGAGCCACUGCAGAAAAGACCCAUUCCCGUGUUCCCACCCUCUGGACCUCUUGUGGAGGAGGCACAUGAAGAAGGGCCUCAGAACAUGAUCUCAGGACAAUAGGGAGAGAGGCAGUCCUUGAGGUAUUGUGGCCCUGAGCAAUUAUUUAUUAAUAAUAAUAAUAGAUAGCCCUCUAUGAAUUUGUCUAAUCUCCUUUGAAAGAAAUAGGUAACAUAACAUGGCCAAAGUAAGUUGCAUGACAGAACAUCUGCUGGAAGAUUCAGCACAUGUUGGAGGGUACAGAGUUAUGCGACCCCCCCAAGACAAGGAGAUAAGUAACUAUACAACCUUUAGAACACACCUGAAGGCAGCCCUGUAUAGAGAAGUUUUUUUUAAAUGUUUUAUUACAUUUUGAUAUACAGUGGUACCUAGGGUUAAGAACUUAAUUCGUUCCGGAGGUCCGUUCUUAACCUGAAACUGUUCUUAACCUGAAGCACCACUUUAGCGAAUGGGGCCUCCUGCUGUCACUGCGCCGCUGCUGUGCGAUUUCUGUUCUCAUCCUGAAGCAAAGUUCUUAACCUGAGGUAAUAUUUCUGGGUUAGCGGAGUCUGUAACCUGAAGCGUCUGUAACCUGAAGCGUAUGUAACCCGAGGUACCACUGUAUGUUGGAAGCUGCCCAGAUUGCCUGGAACAACCCAGUCAGAUGGACAGGGUACCACUACUAUUUUUUCCAACUCUCCCAAAGAUGCCAUCAAUGGUGUCUCGGAAAAUUUUUACACAUCACCUGGGAAGACCAAGCCAGGUAAACUGCACUCUUGCUAGUUAUUGGAAGGAGGCUCCAACCCAUCACCCCAGCCUGUACUGUCAGCAGGUGAACCUAGGACAAUCCUUCAUGAAACUGACAAAGUGGACUCUAGGCCACAGAAGCUUAGGUCACACUAAAUUUAGCUCUGAGGUGCUGCAGGGCUUGUGGUUGCUUGCAAUUAUGGUUGGUUAAUCGAUACCUUGCUUGAAUUAUUGCAUUUCGCUUGAAGUUUGGAUUGCAAGUCCACCAAGGGAGCUGGCCCUGCUCAUCACUUUAACCUGCCUCGAAUGUGAGCUUUCCUGAAAGUACCUCCUGGCCCCCAUUGCAAACAGCAUACAAGAUGGCCCCGGAAGUUGCAUGACUCUUGCAAGACUGUAUAAGCUGAAUCCUGGAGUUGCAAGACUGUACAAGGUGAAUUUUGUAGUUACAAGGCCAUGCUAGAUACAUCUUACUGUAAAACAUGAAAAAGAUUUUUAGUACCUAUAAUGACAACGUCCCCUGGCCAGAACCCCUCUGACAUGAUUUUAUAUCUCCUCGCAGAGACAGAUAAGUAUGUGACCUGGCGUGUAGCACUUUUUGCAACUGCUGCUAGAAAAAUUAGAGCAAAUUAUAUAGCCAAGGUAGCCAUUAACUGUAAAGGAGAUGAAUUUAUUUGAUCCUAUCUAUUUACCUCAGGCUAUGCUCUAUCUUUGUCACCAAGUUCUGAGUAUAAAUUGCACACUGUAUUAAUUGACAUUGCUUUUAACAUUAGUGGCCAUGUGAUGAUUUUAGCUUAUGAAUUUUAUUGUUUAAUGUCUUGAUUUGUACAUUGGGGUACUUUUAUAGCUCUGUUUAGAGCACGUAAUGUUUUGAUAAUAUAAAUGUUUUAAGUCUUUUUUAUCAAUUCAGUAUAUUUUCUUUUAAUUGUCAAAUAAUUCUGUGUACAUUGCGGCAGCCUUUGGCUAUGUGCAAUAACACUGACUGAGACUGAGACUAAGAAUCUUGUGGUUGCAAGAUUCCUGCAUGGAGCAGUGGGCCAGUUCACGGGACAGCCAAGGUCCUACUCUAAAAUCCUGCAAUUUUAUCAUAGAUUUGUAUCUGUGAUUCAUGAAACCAUUGCUCUGAUCCCGCAGAUCUGUUCUUACAUUCUUCUUGUUCUGGCUUGGAUGACAAAGCACAUCGAAAGACCAAGUCAACCAACCUAAGGAUUAAAGUGUAUUUUAUUUACUUCUGUGAAUUUCUCGAGGCAGACCCACUCUUAGGCUUAUUGACAUUAUGUUUCCUUUAAAACGGCUAUUCAACGAAAGAAAACAAACUAAUUGAUUGCUGUUGUACAAGAUGUGGAAUCAGUAGGGUUGGGCCUUGGGGGAACGGCGACGUGUACUUCAGUUCUGCCGGGCAACACAGCGAACAUGUUUUUCUUUCUCCUUUCAGUCUUUCAUGAGUCACUGGUCUCUUCACACAGUUUCACUUCCUUUUCUGGAGGUGUUUGGCUUAUCUGUUCUAGUUUCUGAUUCGCCACUCUUGAGAGGAGAGGAUAAUUUUAGAACUGGGGAAUUUCCUGUAGCCUGAGCAGCUGCACUGAAACCCAGGUGGGGUGGGCACAGGGGGCCAAUUUAUCCUUUUGUGCUGUUCAGUGCUGACAACUCCCCAUCCCUUGUUUCCUGACUUUAUGGGAUGCAUUGUGGAUUCAAUCCCACUUUAGGACACCCUUGCUAUAUCAUUUUAAACACCUGCUAAACUCUAUUUUUGUUUGUCAGCCUACCCAGACAUAAAACUUCAUUAACUAUAUUUGUUUUAAAAGUUUUUUUUCUGAACUUAGUUGCAUUUUGGUGAUGGGGACUCUAUCAUCACCAAUGAUCUAUCUAUCAUCUAUCUAUAUCUAUCUAUCUAUCUAUCUAUCUAUCUAUCAUCUAUCUAUCUAUAUCUAUCUAUCAUCUUUCUAUCAUUUAUCUAGCAUCUAUCUAUCUAUCUAUCUAUCAUCUACCUACCUACCUACCUAUAUCAUCUAUCAUCUUUCUUUCUUUCUUUCUUUCUUUCUUUCUUUCAUCUAUCUAUCAUCUAUCAUUUUUAAUUGUAUGACAGAUUUUGUUCAGUUUUACUGUAUUUACAACUACACUUCUUAGAGAGCUAUUUGAUUAGGCAGUUUAUAAUUCUUCCAAACAGAUACAUGCUUGCAACAACCUUUAUUGGUUUAGCACAUUUGUAACAUAAAGGCUACAUUUAACACCAGUCAUUUAAAACACUAUGAUGCCACUUUAAACAGUUAUUGCCAGGCCUAUGCACAGCUUCUCUGAAGCCCGGAGGGGGGGGGAGUCUUGUUCUUGGCAUGACAGCAGAAGUUUGGCAGACCCCUGGCACCCCCUUCCCAGCCUGCUUAGGCCUCCGAGGCUUGGGGCAAGGGUACAGGGCUGCCUCCCUUCUGCAAGGACCUGGUCAUUGCUUCCUGUAAAGAAUCCUGUGACAUGUACAGUGGUACCUCAGGUUAAGUACUUAAUUCAUUCCGGAGGUCCGUACUUCACCUGAAACUGUUCUUAACUUCAUAGAAUCAUAGAAUAGAAUCAUAGAGUUGGAAGAGACCACAAGGGCCAUCGAGUCCAACCCCCUGCCAAGCAGGAAACACCAUCAGAGCACUCCUGACAUAUGGUUGUCAAGCCUCUGCUUAAAGACCUCCAAAGAAGGAGACUCCACCACACUCCUUGGCAGCAAAUGCCACUGUCGAACAGCUCUUACCGUCAGGAAGUUCUUCCUAAUGUUUAGGUGGAAUCUUCUUUCUUGUAGUUUGGAUCCAUUGCUCCGUGUCCGCUUCUCUGGAGCAGCAGAAAACAACCUUUCUCCCUCCUCUAUGUGACAUCCUUUUAUAUAUUUGAACAUGGCUAUCAUAUCACCCCUUAACCUCCUCUUCUCCAGGCUAAACAUGCCCAGCUCCCUUAGCCGUUCCUCAUAAGGCAUCGUUUCCAGGCCUUUGACCAUUUUGGUUGCCCUCCUCUGGACACGUUCCAGUUUGUCAGUGUCCUUCUUGAACUGUGGUGCUCAGAACUGGACACAGUACUCCAGGUGAGGUCUGACCAGAGCAGAAUACAGUGGCACUAUUCCUUCCUUUGAUCUAGAUGCUAUACUCCUAUUGAUGCAGCCCAGAAUUGCAUUGGCUUUUUUAGCUGCCGCAUCACACUGUUGGCUCAUGUCAAGUUUGUGGUCAACCAAGACUCCUAGAUCCUUGUCACAUGUACUGCUCUCAAGCCAGGUGUCACCCAUCUUGUAUUUGUGCCUCUCAGUGUUUUUGCCCAAGUGCAAUACUUUACAUUUCUCCCUGUUAAAAUUCAUCUUGUUUGUUUUGGCCCAGUUCUCUAAUCUGUCAAGGUCGUUUUGAAGUGUGAUCCUGUCCUCUGGGGUGUUAGCCACCCCUCCCAGUUUGGUGUCAUCUGCAAAUUUGAUCAGGAUGCCCUUGAGUCCAUCAUCCAAGUCGUUGAUAAAGAUGUUGAAUAAGACCAGGCCCAAGACAGAACCCUGUGGCACCCCACUAGUCACUCUUCUCCAGGAUGAAGAGGAACCAUUGAUGAGCACCCUUUGGGUUCGGUCAGUCAGCCAGUUACAAAUCCACUGAGUGGUAGCAUAGUCAAGACCGCAUUUUACCAGCUUCUUUACAAGAAUAUCAUGAGGCACCUUGUAGCACCACUUUAGCUAAUGGGGCCUCCUGCUGCUGCCGCGCCGCCGGAACACAAUUUCUGUUCUCAUCCUGAAGCAAAGUUCUUAACCUGAAGCACUAUUUCUGGGUUAACGGAGUCUGUAACCUGAAGCGUAUGUAACCUGAAGCGUAUGUAACCCGAAGUACCACUGUAGUUUGCUAAGGGUGCUUAGAGUUGUUAGGUGGUCCCUAUUCCCUUCCCAGAGCUACAAUUCCAACAGUUCCCUCGGAAGUGGGAUUGAUUGUUAAAUCAUUCUAAAAAUUAUCGGUUUGGGAGGAAAAUAGGGCUCUCCAAACAGCUCUUAGCACCCUUAACAAGCUACAGCUCCCAAAUUUUUUCAGGCAAAGCUAUUACCAUUUAAAGUGGUCAUACUGCUGACAAUGUAUGGUGUGGAUGUGGCCAAAGACCACAGAAGCUGUAUGCAAGAUAAAAUCAGGAUAAAACUCAAAGGCACAAGUGCCGAACAUAAUGAAAUUAUUUCAGCAACAUUUCAACGAACCUAAAAACCAGCAAACCAUCUUUACAACUUCUAAAAGCGUAGUAGAUAUAGAGCUGCUCUUCUGUAAAGGGCUGGGUCACCUAAACAUCAUGGCAUUAGGCGACUGUCCAGUUUGGGCUGAUAACCCAUUCCAGAGAGCUGGAGCCGCAACACUUAAAGCCCAGUUUCCACAGCAAUCUAUGCACACCUCAGGGCCACAUGAGACAUUCAGCAGUGUGCCAUCUGAGAAGUAUAGCUGCAUGGGGUGAGGCAAUCAGUGAUAGAUGCAGCACCAGAAAAUAAAUAGCAACCAUAGAAGGGAGAAGACACAUUGAUUGUGGACCCACAUGUUAGUGUUUUGAAAGAUAAUGUUUCGCCCUAAAUGUGUUUUCUGUGAAGCAAGUCCUACUGAUUUAGUUGGAGUUAUCUUUCAAGGAAGUAUGCUUACGAUUGCAGCCUCAGUUUAAUUGCCAGUGUAUGGGGAAAGUGCCUUUCCUUCCCAUAAUACCUGGGAUCCAAUAGAAAUGCUUGAGGAAUUUGAUCUUUGUGAAUCAAGGUAUGGAUCCCUAUCCUCUUGUGGGUUGGAGCACAGAUAUCCUUUGGAUCACACACUUUUCCUAAUUUUGUGAUGCAGUUCUUAAAAAAGCCACAAACUAUCAAAAAUACAUUGUGAAUGGGCUUCCUCCCCCCGUGGCCAUAGAUAAGAAGAUCAAACGAAAGGAACAUCUUACCGGUUAGAAACUUUAAUAAUCCCAGCGAGAGAACAAAGAACACAUCUUCUAGAAAUGGUGAUGCUCCCAGUUAAGGUUCACUCCCCACUUCUGUCCCUAUUAAUCUACAUCACUCCUACAUCUUAUAAUCUGAGCUUUCUAUUUUGACAUUUUCUGAGUUCUCUGUGACUUUGGAGACAGGGGUGAAUGCUGUCCAGAGACUGUGAAUCUGUUAACUCUCUCUCCUCUAUUGUUUCUUCUCCUAGCUGUUCCCCAUCCAGGAUUUCCCAGCUUCUGCCUUCUGAACUAUGCCCCUCUGCAAACCACUGUUCCAAAUCUAUACUGUUCUCCUGCUCCUGGGAAGAUUCAGGGUCAAGAUCAUGGAGAGAGGGUGGCUCCCACCAUUCUUCUUCAGUGCAGCCCUCCUUAACCUCGGUCUCUGACAGGAGGCAGACCAUAGCCAUUGUGACUAGGAGCCAUCGAUGGCCUUCUGCUCCAUGACUUUGCCCAAUCCUCUUUUAAAGCCACCUCAGUUGGCAGCCAUCACUGCCUCCAGUGGGAGAGAGUUCCAUAGUUCAACCAUGGACUACCUGAAAAAGUAGUCAUUGUGGUCCCUUUCAGGUGUUGUUGGAUUCCAGCUCCCAUUAGCCUCAGCCAGAAUGGCCGAUGGGCAGGGAUGGUGGGAGUUAGAGUACAGCAAAAUAUGGAGGGCAGCACUUUGGCUACCCCACUGAUACACUAAUACAGCAAGAUGAUGCAGGGCCAGUGUAUAAAUUAUUCAUUUUUGGAAGUAUGGCAUGAGUUUAUUGCUUUUACAGGCAUGGAGGAAUUGGGCUGGUCUCUAUCUUUGCCUGGGGGUUUUAUGAACAGGGAAAUUUUUUAAAAAAUAGAGUUGAAUGUAAGAUGGCCUUAGCAGUCCACAAUAGUUACUCUGCAAUAUUUUCCAAGAUUCUUUAUCAUUUUUAUUUGCUCCAAUUUUUAAAUCAUUAUUUGUAUUAGUAUUAUAUUAUUUCUAUAUGGAUGAGGUGUAAUCUGAGAUGUAUAUGUUUUCCCACAGGUAUGAAAUUCAAUCAAACGUAUUUUUUACAUAUAAAAAAAUUACAAAAUGACAGGAUAGGAAGUUGACAUGCAUUCCGAGCAUCGAGAACGUCAGAGAAGAGUGCUCUUCCAGUGAAAAAGUAUCUUUGCAUAUCUGUGUCAAAAUUAGAAACAGCGAGCUUACCACCUGAAGAGCUGAAAGCUGCAGCUGGCUGAAACCAAGAAAGAAAGAAAGAAAGAAAGAAAGAAAGAAAGAAAGAAAGAAAGAAAG